GAGGGGGAUAACACUUGGAAACAGGUGCUAAUACCGCAUAACCAUAGUUACCGCAUGGUAACUAUGUAAAAGGUGGCUAUGCUACCGCUUUUGGAUGGGCCCGCGGCGCAUUAGCUAGUUGGUGAGGUAAAGGCUUACCAAGGCAAUGAUGCGUAGCCGAACUGAGAGGUUGAUCGGCCACAUUGGGACUGAGACACGGCCCAAACUCCUACGGGAGGCAGCAGUAGGGAAUCUUCCACAAUGGGCGAAAGCCUGAUGGAGCAACGCCGCGUGGGUGAAGAAGGUCUUCGGAUCGUAAAACCCUGUUGUUAGAGAAGAAAGUGCGUGAGAGUAACUGUUCACGUUUCGACGGUAUCUAACCAGAAAGCCACGGCUAACUACGUG
Molecule: ribosomal RNA, 384 nt
Filed under: uncultured bacterium
Lineage: Bacteria
Description: bacterial SSU rRNA
Rfam family: Bacterial small subunit ribosomal RNA
Source: RNAcentral